GGCCGCGUGGCCUAAUGGCUAAGGCGCUAGAUUUCGGUCCUUCAGCAUCUGAUUCUCUAGAGAUUCCAGGUUCGACUCCUGGCGUGGUCG
RNAcentral lists this transfer RNA (90 nucleotides) under Fusarium culmorum. RNAcentral's name for it is "tRNA-Arg". It matches the Rfam family "tRNA". From Rfam's summary of the family: Transfer RNA (tRNA) molecules are approximately 80 nucleotides in length. Their secondary structure includes four short double-helical elements and three loops (D, anti-codon, and T loops). The record is from RNAcentral. Lineage: Eukaryota; Fungi; Ascomycota; Sordariomycetes; Hypocreales; Nectriaceae. RNAcentral also lists the same sequence under 4 other names.